This 257-nucleotide unclassified non-coding RNA is filed under the name uncultured Parcubacteria group bacterium. RNAcentral describes it as "contains 16S-23S intergenic spacer region". It matches the Rfam family "Bacterial small subunit ribosomal RNA", at positions 524 to 776 of the family's 1533-position model. The record is from RNAcentral.
UACAGAGACCUCAAGCGUUAUCCGGAAUCAUUGGGCGUAAAGCGUACCGAUAGGUGGUUUUGUUAGUCUUGGGUGAAAGCCCGAAGCUUAACUUCGGAGUUCGCUUAAGAUACUGCAAGACUAGAGGGGCAAAGAGGAGACUGGAACGAACGGUGUAGUAGUGAAAUGCGUUGAUAUCGUUCGGAACACCGAAAGCGAAGGCAGGUCUCUGGGUGCCACCUGACACUGCUAGGACGAAAGCGUGGGGAGCGAAUGGG